This is a long non-coding RNA of Magnolia sinica, 909 nucleotides long. RefSeq lists it as uncharacterized. The transcript has 2 exons. Lineage: Eukaryota; Viridiplantae; Streptophyta; Magnoliopsida; Magnoliales; Magnoliaceae. The record is from RefSeq and is a predicted model, not a curated record.
GGAAGAAAAAAAGGUUAGGGUUUCACCACCACCAUUAUCAUUUCCGUCUAAAUCUUAUGCGAUUGAUCGAUCCAAUCCGUCCGUCCAUCCAUCUCAAUGGAGAAAUUAGAUAAUCAUGCGAAGAUCGGAGGAACGUACGGUGCCGAUUUGAAGGAUCACUGCGCCGGGAAUUCCGUUCGUAUGCCAGAAUUUCUUGAUGUUGGGCCAUUCCGCCAACGGCAUCGAAGCAAGGUGGACCACGAUCUUCGUGAUCCACACCCGGGAACUGCAGCAGGAUUUCAUCUGAUUACAGCGCCGGCGAAUUCCACGUCGGAUGCCUGAAUUUCUCAAUGUUGGCCCAGUCUACCAACGGCAUUGAAGCCGGGUGGCCGCCGCUCUUCGUGAUCCAACAACCAGGAGCUGCGGUGGGGCUUCAUAUGCAAGAUCUGUGCGAUCCUCACCAUCCAAUUGCUGAUUGCCACCACUGCAACCUCUGUGGCCAUGUCCUGGCUCGGCUCGGCUCGGCCAGUAGCUAAACCCAGAUUGAACUCAGCUCAGCUCUGAGUGGCCAGCUCGGCUCGGUUCGGUUCGGUCAGCAGCUCGGGCCAGUUCCAGCCGAGUUCGAGCCAGUGUGACAUUUUGUCAAACACAUAGAGUGCGUCUUCAAUUUUUCACAGAAUGCAAAACAGUAACAGCCGUUUUACAGGUUAGAUUACCAUUGCAACCCUGUCACAGAGUAUCAACUGAUUCUUGGAUUGAUGAUUUGGCUUUUGAACCGAUAGCUCUUCUGGGUAAAUGGUUCUGUUGUGAUUUUUCUUGCAUAUCAUAUUCUAGUUUUGGAUCGGCCAUCUAUUUAUGAAAGCAUAAACCAAUAAAUGUAAUGCUGCAGGCAUUUGUAAUUUAUAAAGUUGGUGAUGAUUAUUGAUUUUC